AUUGAACGCUGGCGGAAUGCUUUACACAUGCAAGUCGAGCGGCAGCGCGGGGCAACCUGGCGGCGAGCGGCGAACGGGUGAGUAAUACAUCGGAACGUACCCAGUUGUGGGGGAUAGCCCGGCGAAAGCCGGAUUAAUACCGCAUACGACCUGAGGGUGAAAGGGGGGGACGGCAAGACCUCUCGCAGUUGACGCGGCCGGUGGCGGAUUGGAUAGUUGGUGGGAUAAGGGCCCACCAAGGCGACGAUCCGUAGCGGGUCUGAGAGGACGACCCGCCACACUGGAACUGAGACACGGUCCAGACUCCUACGGGAGGCAGCAGUGGGGAAUUUUGGACAAUGGGGGCAACCCUGAUCCAGCCAUUCCGCGUGAGUGAAGAAGGCCUUCGGGUUGUAAAGCUCUUUCGGCAGGAACGAAACGGUGGGUCUUAAUACGAUCUGCUAAUGACGGUACCUGAAGAAGAAGCACCGGCUAACUACGUGCCAGCCGCCGCGGUAA
RNAcentral lists this ribosomal RNA (498 nucleotides) under uncultured bacterium. RNAcentral's name for it is "partial 16S ribosomal RNA". It matches the Rfam family "Bacterial small subunit ribosomal RNA", at positions 29 to 523 of the family's 1533-position model. The record is from RNAcentral.